GUGGGGAAUCUUAGACAAUGGGGGAAACCCUGAUCUAGCCAUGCCGCGUGAGCGAUGAAGGCCUUAGGGUUGUAAAGCUCUUUCAGCUGGGAAGAUAAUGACGGUACCAGCAGAAGAAGCCCCGGCUAACUCCGUGCCAGCAGCCGCGGUAAUACGGAGGGGGCUAGCGUUGUUCGGAAUUACUGGGCGUAAAGCGCGCGUAGGCGGACCAGAAAGUUGGAGGGGAACUCCCAGGGCUCAACGUUGGAACUGCCUUCAAAACUCCUUGUCUGGAUUUCGAGAGAGGUGAGUGGAAUUCCGAGUGUAGAGGUGACAUUCGUAGAUAUUCGGAGGAACACCAGUGGCGAAGGCGUCUCACUGGCUCGAUACUGACGCUGAGGUGCGAAAGCGUGGGGAGCAAACAGGAUUAGAUACCCCGGUAGUCC
RNAcentral lists this ribosomal RNA (425 nucleotides) under uncultured bacterium. RNAcentral describes it as "partial 16S ribosomal RNA". It matches the Rfam family "Bacterial small subunit ribosomal RNA", at positions 354 to 796 of the family's 1533-position model. The record is from RNAcentral.